GAUCAGAGUAUUCUGUCUCAAAAAUGAUAGAAAUUUAUUUCUUCCUCAGGUAACUGUUUAUUGUUGGCUGUUCUGGGACGGUGGAAGGCCUCUACUCCAUGCAAUCAUUCAGGAAACCAAGCUGAUGGAAGCUCUGCAAUCUCCAACCAGUUGUUCUGUUCAUCCUUGACACCUUCAUCCUUUGGGAAGGGGGACAGCAUCGAAGGGCUCAGGAGGUUGUGCCAGUCUAGCCCUUUUUAUCAUUUUACCAUUUCCACCCUUUUUCUGUUGGAAAGGACAUAGUCAUUUAGCCACAUAACUGCGAAUGAAUCUAGGAAUCAUGGAGGAAAGGGUGAAUGGAUUUUAAUGGACAAUUAGCAGUCUCCGACAUGAGAUUUGGGAGAGGCCAACAGUGCUAAAACAAUAAUUUUUAAAAAUGUAUUUAGAAGUUGAGAGAAGGUAGAAAUCAGCGUGGAACAAAAUCUUCGGGAAGAGAUGGGAUGUGAUGGAACAAAAAACUGGAUAAAUGAAGAAAAAAGAAAUACAACUCACUCAAUAAAUACAUAUGGGUGCACUGUAUUUUGGAGAAAGAAUAUGUUUGCAAAGCUUUUUAAAUUAAAUCUUCAUAAGAAUGUGGGAGUAAAUGCCAAAGGAAUUCGUGAGUACCUAGUUUAAUGAUAAUCCAAAACAAACUUUAAGAAAACAAUGGAGAAAAAGACUUGUGGCUUCAAGGAUAAGAGUAAGUAUUCUUUGAAAUUUGAGUUGGUGAAUACUAGAUUUAAAUUUAUAAAAAAAAAUUAAGAGAUUUAAA
RNAcentral lists this long non-coding RNA (790 nucleotides) under Mustela putorius furo (domestic ferret). RNAcentral's name for it is "lncRNA (ENSMPUG00000030145.1)". Lineage: Eukaryota; Metazoa; Chordata; Mammalia; Carnivora; Mustelidae. The record is from RNAcentral.